Molecule: ribosomal RNA, 451 nt
Filed under: Epiophlebia superstes
Lineage: Eukaryota; Metazoa; Arthropoda; Insecta; Odonata; Epiophlebiidae
Description: partial 16S ribosomal RNA
Rfam family: Bacterial large subunit ribosomal RNA
Source: RNAcentral
AACGGCCGCGGUAUUCUGACCGUGCAAAGGUAGCAUAAUCAUUAGUCUUUUAAUAGAGGGCUGGAAUGAAGGGUUUGACGAGGUGUUGACUGUCUCAUUUAAUUUGAAUUUAGAAUUUAACUUUUUAGUCAAAAGGCUGAAAUAAUAUUGGAAGACGAGAAGACCCUAUAGAGCUUUAUAGUAUUUUUAUUAAUAAAUUUUAGUAAAUGGUUAUUUAUUAUUAUAAUCUAUUAUUUUGUUGGGGUGACAAAAAUAUAUAAUAAACUUUUUUAUUUAUUUAACAUUGAUUUAUGAUUAUUAGAUCCAAUUUUAUUGAUUAUUAGAACAAGUUACCUUAGGGAUAACAGCGUAAUCUUCUUUCAGAGUUCAUAUUUACAAGAAGGCUUGCGACCUCGAUGUUGGAUUAAGAUGAUAAUUAGGUGUAGCUGCUUAAUGUAUAGGUCUGUUCGAC